UGUAUCUGAAGCCUGACGAGGAUGAGAACCUCCGGGGGCAAGAGGUUCGACCCGAGCGAAGCGAGAGAACGUUGCUUCAGCAACGGCCCGCAGGGCGAGCCACGCAGUGGCGAGUCAUCCUCUAUCACCGGCAG
Molecule: small RNA, 134 nt
Filed under: Salmonella enterica subsp. enterica serovar Berta
Lineage: Bacteria; Pseudomonadati; Pseudomonadota; Gammaproteobacteria; Enterobacterales; Enterobacteriaceae
Also listed under: 8 other names
Description: RtT sRNA
Rfam family: RtT RNA
About the family: This family represents a bacterial cis-regulatory element known as RtT RNA. The exact function of RtT is unknown although it is thought that it may be involved in changing the cellular response in relation to amino acid starvation.
Source: RNAcentral